RNAcentral lists this ribosomal RNA (497 nucleotides) under uncultured bacterium. RNAcentral's name for it is "partial 16S ribosomal RNA". It matches the Rfam family "Bacterial small subunit ribosomal RNA", at positions 28 to 507 of the family's 1533-position model. The record is from RNAcentral.
GAUGAACGCUGGCGGCGUGCCUAAUACAUGCAAGUCGAGCGAACGGACGAGAAGCUUGCUUCUCUGAUGUUAGCGGCGGACGGGUGAGUAACACGUGGAUAACCUACCUAUAAGACUGGGAUAACUUCGGGAAACCGGAGCUAAUACCGGAUAAUAUUUUGAACCGCAUGGUUCAAAAGUGAAAGACGGUCUUGCUGUCACUUAUAGAUGGAUCCGCGCUGCAUUAGCUAGUUGGUAAGGUAACGGCUUACCAAGGCAACGAUGCAUAGCCGACCUGAGAGGGUGAUCGGCCACACUGGAACUGAGACACGGUCCAGACUCCUACGGGAGGCAGCAGUAGGGAAUCUUCCGCAAUGGGCGAAAGCCUGACGGAGCAACGCCGCGUGAGAGAUGAAGGUCUUCGGAUCGUAAAACUCUGUUAUUAGGGAAGAACAUAUGUGUAAGUAACUGUGCACAUCUUGACGGUACCUAAUCAGAAAGCCACGGCUAACUACGUG